AAAUUGAAGAGUUUGAUCAUGGCUCAGAUUGAACGCUGGCGGCAGGCCUAACACAUGCAAGUCGAACGGUAACAGGAAGCAGCUUGCUGCUUCGCUGACGAGUGGCGGACGGGUGAGUAAUGUCUGGGAAGCUGCCUGAUGGAGGGGGAUAACUACUGGAAACGGUAGCUAAUACCGCAUAAU
RNAcentral lists this ribosomal RNA (183 nucleotides) under Escherichia coli S17. RNAcentral's name for it is "partial 16S ribosomal RNA". It matches the Rfam family "Bacterial small subunit ribosomal RNA", at positions 1 to 177 of the family's 1533-position model. The record is from RNAcentral. Lineage: Bacteria; Pseudomonadati; Pseudomonadota; Gammaproteobacteria; Enterobacterales; Enterobacteriaceae.